This 56-nucleotide transfer RNA is filed under the name Symsagittifera roscoffensis. RNAcentral describes it as "tRNA-Tyr". The record is from RNAcentral. Lineage: Eukaryota; Metazoa; Xenacoelomorpha; Acoela; Convolutidae.
UUUUUUUAAAAUUAAAAACAACUAAUGUUUAAUAAAAACAAUUUUAAAAUAAAAAA